This 424-nucleotide ribosomal RNA is filed under the name uncultured bacterium. Its description in RNAcentral is "partial 16S ribosomal RNA". It matches the Rfam family "Bacterial small subunit ribosomal RNA", at positions 360 to 776 of the family's 1533-position model. The record is from RNAcentral.
AAUAUUGGACAAUGGGCGAAAGGCUGAUCCAGCCAUGCCGCGUGUGUGAAGAAGGUCNNNGGAUUNUCAAUCACUUUAAGUUGNGAGNAAGGGCAGUAAGGUAAUACCUUGCUGUUUUGACGUUACCGACAGAAUAAGCACCGGCUAACUUCGUGCCAGCAUCCUGGGUAAUACGAAGGGUGCAAGCGUUAAUCGGAAUUAAUGGGCGUAAAACGGGCGUAGGUGGUUCGUUAAGUUGGAAGUGAAAGCCCCGGGCUUAACCUGGGAAUUGCUUUCAAAACUGACGAGCUAGAGUACGGUAGAGGGUAGUGGAAUUUCCUGUGUAGCGGUGAAAUGCGUAGAUAAAGGAAGGAACAUCAGUGGCGAAGGCGACUACCUGGACUGAUACUGACACUGAGGUGCGAAAGCGUGGGGAGCAAACAGG